RNAcentral lists this ribosomal RNA (523 nucleotides) under uncultured bacterium. RNAcentral describes it as "partial 16S ribosomal RNA". It matches the Rfam family "Bacterial small subunit ribosomal RNA", at positions 28 to 523 of the family's 1533-position model. The record is from RNAcentral.
GACGAACGCUGGCGGCGUGCCUAAUACAUGCAAGUCGAACGCUUUUUCUUUCACCGGAGCUUGCUCCACCGAAAGAAAAAGAGUGGCGAACGGGUGAGUAACACGUGGGUAACCUGCCCAUCAGAAGGGGAUAACACUUGGAAACAGGUGCUAAUACCGUAUAACACUAUUUUCCGCAUGGAAGAAAGUUGAAAGGCGCUUUUGCGUCACUGAUGGAUGGACCCGCGGUGCAUUAGCUAGUUGGUGAGGUAACGGCUCACCAAGGCAACGAUGCAUAGCCGACCUGAGAGGGUGAUCGGCCCAACUGGGACUGAGACACGGCCCAGACUCCUACGGGAGGCAGCAGUAGGGAAUCUUCGGCAAUGGACGAAAGUCUGACCGAGCAACGCCGCGUGAGUGAAGAAGGUUUUCGGAUCGUAAAACUCUGUUGUUAGAGAAGAACAAGGAUGAGAGUAGAACGUUCAUCCCUUGACGGUAUCUAACCAGAAAGCCACGGCUAACUACGUGCCAGCCGCCGCAGUAA